This 469-nucleotide ribosomal RNA is filed under the name uncultured fungus. RNAcentral describes it as "eukaryotic LSU rRNA". It matches the Rfam family "Eukaryotic large subunit ribosomal RNA", at positions 83 to 547 of the family's 3401-position model. Lineage: Eukaryota; Fungi. The record is from RNAcentral.
GUAACUGCGAGUGAACCGGGAUCAGUCCAAACUUGUAAUCUUUGUCAAGUUGACAACGAGUUGUAGUUUGAAGUCCAGAUGUACGCGGCUGGCGUCAGUGCCCAACUAAUCCUUGAAUGGUUGACCCUGGAGGGUGAAAGUCCCGUACGGCACGCCACACGCCUGUCGUCUCUGCACUGGGCCAAGAGUCGGGUUGUUUGAGAUUGCAGUCCAAAGUGGGUGGUAAACUCCAUCUAAGGCUAAAUAUUGACGAGAGACCGAUAGCGAACAAGUACCGUGAGGGAAAAUUGAAAAGGACUUUGAAAAUAAAGUUAAAAGUGCGUGAAAUUGCUGACAGGGAAGCGAUUGGGUGGGCAGUGCCGGAUGUUGGCUUUUCACAUCGAAAACAUGUAGGUGUGCGAGCGUUGCAUCCGGACAGUCACGCAUUUAGAGCGACGAACUUUUUGUUCGUUAUGAAUUAAAUGCGCAA